CAGAGAACACGAGGUGAGGAACCCAGGCUUUUAUUGUCAUUCUGAAAGAGCCCUGCCCUCUAAGGGGAUAUCUGGAUCUUCAUGGCUGGAGAAGAUAUCAGAGAUCAUGCAGCUUUACUUUGACCAGUCGGACCUUGGGAAAGAAAAAUUGUUUGGCAUUGCAUAUUUCUGUCCUUGUGAGUCCUGAUCCUUCAGAAACUCAUAAUGUUUUGCAGAGAGAAGAGCUCUUACCUGCAAAGUAUGGGUUUUAUUAGAACAGUAAAAGGCAUGAGUAAUACUUUGAAGAAGCUUAAAGUACCUACAAAAACUCAAGGACAAGGACUUGUUAGUGACUGGAAGGAAUGGCAGGUUGAAACCCUGAUUGUCGUGUACAUAAUGAAGGAUUUCCUCAUAAUGGCUUGUCUCUGCAACUUCUCCGAGGGAGGUAAUCUAUAUUUUGACUUUACGUCCAGAUUUCUACAUCACAGAAAAUGAGGUCGUGAAUCGUUCAGUGCCAUCAAUUUAAUGUUUAUUCUGCUUCUCUGGGAGACUUUCACUUUCCUAU
Molecule: long non-coding RNA, 544 nt
Filed under: Cyanistes caeruleus (blue tit)
Lineage: Eukaryota; Metazoa; Chordata; Aves; Passeriformes; Paridae
Description: lncRNA (ENSCCEG00000001327.1)
Source: RNAcentral